Molecule: ribosomal RNA, 572 nt
Filed under: uncultured bacterium
Lineage: Bacteria
Description: bacterial SSU rRNA
Rfam family: Bacterial small subunit ribosomal RNA
Source: RNAcentral
GAUGAACGCUGGCGGUAUGCUUUACACAUGCAAGUCGUACGAGAGUUUUUAACUCAAGUGGCGGACGGGUGAGUAACACGUAAGAAUUUGCCUUUAGGAGGGGGAUAACAACUGGAAACGGUUGCUAAUACCCCAUAUGCUUUCGAGUGAAACGGUUUUUCCGCCUAAAGAGAAGCUUGCGGCUGAUUAGCUUGUUGGUGAGGUAAUGGCUCACCAAGGCGACGAUCAGUAUCUGGUUUGAGAGGACGAUCAGACACACCGGAACUGAGACACGGUCCAGACUCCUACGGGAGGCAGCAGUGGGGAAUUUUCCGCAAUGGGCGAAAGCCUGACGGAGCAAUACCGCGUGAGGGAUGACGGCCUAUGGGUUGUAAACCUCUUUUUUCAGGGAGGAAUCAAUGACGUGUACCUGAAGAAUAAGCAUCGGCUAACUCCGUGCCAGCAGCCGCGGUAAGACGGAGGAUGCAAGUGUUAUCCGGAAUCACUGGGCGUAAAGCGUCUGUAGGUGGUCAAAUAAGUCAACUGUUAAAUCUUGAGGCUCAACCUCAAAAUCGCAGUCGAAACUAUUAGAC